CGGAACCACAUACACGCGAGUAACACAGUUCAGGCCCUGAGCCCCGCAGAGGAAGCUCCCUGUGCAGCCGCCGCGAGCUGUGCUGUCACCACACCGGGCGCUGGGAAAGCGCGGCAGACGCGCUGCCACCCGUGCAGGCGGUGACUGGGGCGGGUGGGCCCUGCGGAGGCGCCGAGAGCUACGUCGGCGAGGAAUUCCUGCUCUUCGACUCUUCUUUUUUGUUGCUCUUAUACUAAUUGAGAAAUUACUUAAAUUCAACUUGGUAUCCACUAAGAGCUUGACACAACUUAAAAUUUCCAUGUAUUUUAUUCAGGAACCGAUAGCCAAUCAGAGCAGUGAGCCUAGCGCCGCGUGCCGGACGCCGGGCGGAGGCUUGACUGAUUGGCCUUCGAUGACAUUCACAGUCCCACGGGGAAGGACCGGAACUACCUUAUGUUAGAGGCAAGGAAACAGGUUUGAGAGGCUAAUAACAAGCUCAUGCGUCUUGUAAGUCAUAGGACCCAGCGCCGACCGCGCCCGUCCACCUGCCCAGCGCGCUGGGCGGGCCGCCCCUGAGCCGGCGAAGGUGCACGCUGCGCCCGCGCUCCCGGGGGACUCCAGCCGCGGACAUCCUUCCCACGCAACACGUUCAUGGAGGAUCUACAGUGUGCAAACCCGUGGGUCAACGCCCAGUGUUUGUUAAACUGAACGGGGCUGCGCUGCAGUUCAGAAAGCGGAAGUCGGCUGAGCAAGGAGCCCCGCCCUCCGGCACGAGCCCUGCCCCCAAAGAAGAGGGCGAGAGAAUGAGCGGCCGCCACUCGAGGUCAAGGCUGAAAUGCGGGGAAUGCUAACUGCAUAGGCUGUGAGAGUCUGGCAAAGGGGGAAAUUAAGCCUGCUCCGCGGGCUGCUCUCUCUGAGACCGUGGCAAGCACGACGGUGUCCUAUUGAAAACAGUGUGGAAAGCUGCCUAAAUGUUUACUAACAGAGGACAAUUAGAUAAAUUAUGUACUCACACCAUGUAAUAUUAAACUGCGAUUUGAAAUUCUGCCACAGCAGGAAAAAGGGCUGUUGGUGAGGAAAGAUGUGCACCGUCCAAAAGUGAAAACCAGAACAAAAUAAAGUGAAAGUAUCAGGUUGUGUCGACGAGUUUCCCUCCAAAAUUGGGUGGGCCGCAUCCAAUCAGUUGAAGGCCUUAAGAGAAAAGAGCGAAGUCCUUGGAGGAAGAGGGAAUUCUGCCUCUGGACGGCGACGUCGAAGUUCUGCUGGGGCUUCCAGCCUGCCCCGUAGACUCUGGACUGAAGAUCGCAGCAUCAGCUGUCACCUGAAUGUCCCCACUGCUGGCCUGGCUGUGGGGUGUAGACUUGCCAGCCCCACAAAGGAAGGACCCUUACUAAAGCAGCAGCGUGAAGGACCCAUGGGGAUCCUCUUUACCAGACCUUUCUUUAAAGACGAGGAAAGGCACGUGAGGAAGGAGUUGGGUAUUUUCACAGCAUUUGCUCUUUCCCUCCGUGUGUAGGAUCUAAUAUAUCCUCACAGCGGCCUCGGACCCGGGAGUUGGCAUCAUUUUCUCUGAGCCAACAUGCUUGAAAGAGAGUCUCACCCCGCAGCAAGCGCAUCUCCCUGAGACGGGGUCUGCGUGUGGCGGGUCUUCUCUGCAGUUGACAUGUGUGGUUUCCCUGGAUUCUCCCUCCCGCCUCCUCCAGGCAGGAAGCCCGGUCUUUAACAGCCUCUGCCAGGAGGCAGAAGCCUCUUGAUUAGCGGGUCUUUUGUAGAAGCCUUAGUCCCUGGCAGCCGGAGCCCGGAGCACGGGGUCUUCAGGAGCACAGGGCACAGCGGGCUCUUGCCUCCGGCCGGCACGAAGGGGGCGAGGUGCGCUGGUCCUGUGAGCACCCUGCCUUCUGCUCCACGCUUGGCGAUCCUUGCGGGGAGCCUGGACACUGGCACAUAAUUUCCACACCUCGCCAAGGGAGACGGCUGCAAGGACGGGGAGAAGGCAGAGGCUGGGGGCAGCAGGAACAACGCAGAGAGAGACUGUGGGCAACCCGCCCCACUGCCAGGCAGGACGGGGUCGGCAGGAGGAGCCUGAUUCUCGUCCCUGCCGAAGCCUCCAGGACUUCUCAGCACCCUGGUGAUAAGUGAGCUUGCACGUCGGGGCAGGCUAGUGGGGCUGCGCUCAGAGUGGGACUGGUGUCAACUUAAAGAAUAUGCAUCCUUCAUGUGUGUAGACACACACACACUUGUAUAAUAUACACACGUAUAUGUGUUAUACAAUAAUAUUUCUGGCCUCCUUGUCUGAGUUAACAGGUUUGUGUCAACGACACUGACAAGGGUGGUGGGAACAGAGGAGCAGAAGUUUCUAGAAGUGUGAUGAGUGAUAAUUUUAACACAAUUUUUUUUAUUUAUCUGUAGUUUAAACUCUUUAAAUUUCCUAAGAUCUGAAAUAACCAGUUAUAAAACUGGGCAAACUAAAAUAAGUGAUAAAAUGUUCUGUUGCUAUUAUAAAAUGUAAUCCCAGUGAGAUCACUUAAUAUAUGUUUUUUCAGACACAUUCUUGUACUGUUCUUAAUGCAACAAAGAUCAGGAAAAAAGAAACAAAAUAUCAGAGACCUCAAGUAAUGGGCACUAAACUCACUUUAUUACUCAAUAUUUUCUUUUAUUAUGAAAUAAGCAUUUUUUUUUUAAAGAUUUUAUUUUUUCCUUUUUCUCCCCAAAGCCCCCCGGUACGUAGUUGUGUAUUCUUCGUUGUGGGUUCUUCUAGUUGUGGCAUGUGGGACGCUGCCUCAGCGUGGUCUGAUGAGCAGUGCCAUGUCCGCGCCCAGGAUUCGAACUAACGAAACACUGGGACGCCUGCAGCGGAGCGCGCGAACUUAACCGCUCGGCCACGGGGCCAGCCCCAUGAAAUAAGCAUUUUUAAAUCUAUGGUUAAAGGCAUACAUUAAAAAAAUAACAUUUUGCAAUAAGAGUAAGGACAUUUUCCUGGUGAUUUUAUUGAGGUAGUUUUGUCUUCCUCAAGCACAGUUUCAAAGUAAAGGUACACAACAUAAAAAAAAAAUAAAAAAUUAACUCUUUAAAUUUCCUAAAAUAAAUACAGAUUAUUUUUAUAAUUUAACUAAUAUUUUAAACAUUUAUAUUUUUAUGUAUUAUGUUACAACAUAAAAAGAUCCUUAUAGCAUAAAUUUAGAGAAAGAAACAGAAUUCUAAGUGGUAUCUACAGUAUAAGAACUAUUUUUUUUAUAAAAGUAAAAUAACAUCCAAACAGACAAAAAGAAGCCUAUAUAACCACUUAUAGAGAAAAGAUUGGAAAGAAAGAGCAAAAAUGAUGUUACUGUGAUCAUCUUCAGGGCUCUCUUUUGCUUUUUUCUACUUUUCUGACAUUUCUAAGGACUUUUGAGUGUGUAUCGCGUUUUUCUCCUGCCCGGAGCCCCAGUGCGUGGUCGCAUAUUCCAGCUGUAAGUCAGUCCAGGUCUUCUGUGUGAGCCGCUGCCACAGCAUGGCUCCUGACAGACAGUGGUGUGGUUCCGCCCCUGGGAACCCAACCCCGGCCGCUGGAGUGGAGCACGCAGAACUUGAGCCACUAGGCCGUCAGGGCUGGCUCAGAGUGUGCAUCAUUUUUUAAAAGGCAAAACUUUGCAGGGAAUUUAACUAUUUUAAUAGUCCCUGGAUAUAAAUACUACUCCACAAUAAGCUUUUUAAAAUCUUGCUUCUCUGGCUAUUGUUUUCUGUUCAAACUAUAAAUCCUUGGAAAGUGUAGAAUUUGCCAUUUCUACCUAAACUUUGCUAAAUGAAAAUUUAGUAAGCAAAAAUCCUUUUUAAAGCCUUUCUGUCUCCAACACACACACACACACACCCUCACUCCCAUACUCACGGACAUACACGUAUACACUCAUACACACUCACUCGCAUAUAUCCUCACAGCCUGACGGAAACGAAUGAGUGGGGCAGUGGCCUUCCUUUGACCUCUGCAGGCGGGAUUACACCUCCAGGGGUCCUGACAAGGCGUUAAAUUCGAGAAGAAGGGCCCACACGUGGGGCAUGAAUGACCAGGUGUGGGCCCUGGAGUGCAGAGCUCCAGUGAGGCCCUGGCAGAGGGCACAGGGGACAGAUGUGGAUUCUAAAGGCCCCAAGGUGGCCCAGGUGGCUGGCGAGCAGUCCUGUGACCGGACGCACCCCUCCCAGGUGUGCGUUGCCAGGACCACUGACUCCUAGGUGUGCUGUGACGUGAGGACGCCCUGCUGUCCCCUCCUCCCCGGGCUCCGCCCCGCUGGUCUGUCCCCCACACUGGCUGCGGUUCUGGGGGAACCUCUGCGGCUUCCUGUGGUCUGUUUGCUGUCGCCAGCAGGCCUCUGGCCACCUGAGGCCUCUCUGUCACAGCCCCUGGCCGUGGACGCCUCACCUUGCGCUUGUCCUGGAAGAGCCAGGCGAGGCCCAGGUGGUACGGGCGACGGUCAUGGCUUUCUUAUGGUCAAGCUGACACUUUCUGACGCUCUCCUUGCUUCCUGCAGGCCUGGCUUCUCCUGUUUCCCUGAACCUCGUGAACUUACUUUGCUUUCCUUGCUUUGCUUUCCUUGCCUUGCAAGUCUGCCGGAGACAAAUUCUCAACUUUUGUUGGUCUGCAAAUGUCUUUAUCUUGCUUUCAAUUUUGAAAGACAUGGUAUUGUCUAGAAAUAAAAUUCUAGAUCUUUCAGCACUUUGGAGGUGUUUUCUUUUAUUUUCUGGCCUCCGUUGUCGUUACGAAAAGUCAAUCAACGUCUCUUUUAUGGUUCGCUGUAUACAGUGUCCUUUCCCUGCUCCGGCUGCUUUUAAGAUUUUCUCUUUAUCUUUGGGGUCAGAAGUUUCACCCUGAGUAUACCCAGAUGUAUACUCUUGUUUUUUGGUUUUUUUUUUUUUACCCUGAUUUGUGAUUCACUAAAUUUGGGCCUGUUGGUCGAUGUUCCAUCAAUUUUGGGAAAUUCUCACCUGUUAUCUCCUCAAAUAUUUAUUCUGUACCAUUCUCUCUCCCCUCUCCUUCUGGAACUUUAAUGACCUGUAUCUUAGAUCAUUUGAUCUUGUCCUUCAGAUCUUGUACGCUUUGUUCCCUUUUUCUCCUUUUCUUUUCAGUUUGGAUAAUUUCUGUCACUUGUUCUUGCUACACCCAAUUUGUUGUAAAGCCCAUAGAUGGAAUUCUUCAUUUGUGCUAUGGUAUUUUUUAUAUCUAGCAUUUCUAUUUGGCCCUUUUUUGUAGUUUUCAUCUCUGUGCUGAAAUUCUUCAUCUGUUCACACAUAUUGCCCAGCUUUCCACUAGAUCGUUUAGCAUAUUUAUCAUAGUUAUUUUAAAGUCCUUAUUUCGAAGGGCUGAAAUAAGUCUAGAUAUAACUUUAUUUACUGUCCUCUCUCUUGACUGUAGGUCAUAUUUUCUUCCUUUGCUGCAUGUAUUGUACUUUUUAUUGUGUGCCAGACAUUGUGUGUAAAAGCAGAGUAGAGACUGAAGUAAACAGUGUUUACCCCCAGGAAAGGUCGCGCCCUUGCUUCUGUCUGGUUGUGUUGUGGCCGCCGAAUCAGCCUGAUCUGCGGUCGAGCUCAGCUGGGCUUUGUUGAAGCUUUAGUUAGACUGAGUUAGUUCGCCACUAGCUUCAGAUGUUUUUGAGGAAGGGGUCGUGACUUUCCCCCGGCACAACUUAGUAGCUGAGAACCAGCAAGACUCUGGGAUCUUUUCGUGCCACACAGACACCUGCCAUGUGAGGUGAGGAGAUUUCUCUCAGCUUCCUCACCAGGACGUUCUCUCUGGCCUCCAGUCCCUCCCUCGUCUGUCUGUCCUUCG
Molecule: long non-coding RNA, 5776 nt
Organism: Equus caballus (horse)
Lineage: Eukaryota; Metazoa; Chordata; Mammalia; Perissodactyla; Equidae
Source: Ensembl